This 443-nucleotide ribosomal RNA is filed under the name uncultured bacterium. RNAcentral describes it as "partial 16S ribosomal RNA". It matches the Rfam family "Bacterial small subunit ribosomal RNA", at positions 338 to 795 of the family's 1533-position model. The record is from RNAcentral.
CCUACGGGAGGCAGCAGUGGGGAAUAUUGGGCAAUGGGCGCAAGCCUGACCCAGCAACGCCGCGUGAAGGAAGAAGGCUUUCGGGUUGUAAACUUCUUUUCUCAGGGACGAAGAUAGUGACGGUACCUGAGGACUAAGCCACGGCUAACUACGUGCCAGCAGCCGCGGUAAUACGUAGGUGGCAAGCGUUAUCCGGAUUUACUGGGUGUAAAGGGCGUGUAGGCGGGGAAGCAAGUCAGAUGUGAAAACCACGGGCUCAACCUGUGGCCUGCAUUUGAAACUGUUUUUCUUGAGUACUGGAGAGGCAGGCGGAAUUCCUAGUGUAGCGGUGAAAUGCGUAGAUAUUAGGAGGAACACCAGUGGCGAAGGCGGUCUGCUGGACAGCAACUGACGCUGAGGCGCGAAAGCGUGGGGAGCAAACAGGAUUAGAUACCCCAGUAGUC